Punica granatum (pomegranate) is the source of this 584-nucleotide non-coding RNA. The record is from RefSeq and is a predicted model, not a curated record. Lineage: Eukaryota; Viridiplantae; Streptophyta; Magnoliopsida; Myrtales; Lythraceae.
CUUUCCCCCCUCCACUGGUCCUGAUCACUGCUUGCUUGUGUCUCAGCUUCUUCCUCUUCCUCCUCUUCCACUUCUUCUUCUCCUUCUAGUACUUUCUUAUUCCCUUCCUUGUCACUCACGAAGUCCUUUCUUUUCAUCCCGAGAAGAGAUCGCUUUCCGUUCCCGACUUCGUAGGCGCGAAGAACGAAGAGUUUGAUUAUGCCUUUCCAGGCAGUACCGAAGAGAUAGGUUAGGUCGUAGCAUCCGACCCGUCUCUUGGCUAGAAGGGAGGUAGGAUUGGCUAACCAAGGUGAGGGCGAGUGUCGUCAGCACAAAGGCCAUCCAGCUGGGCCCAUGACGGUUGAGUGUCGUUGCCAUAGCCAUUUGGAAGGCUGGGGUGGUGGACGUAGCCAACUGAUCAUGGGGCCAUCGGGGUUGGGGUUUUAGCCCCUUUUUUUCCCUCAUGAUUUGUUUCUUUCGUUCGAUAAAUUCUCAAGAUUUUUAAUUUGCUAAAAUCAUGUUGUCACUUGAGUCCAUCUCAUGUUAGGAUUCGACUCAGCUCAUCCAAACAGAUGAAUAUCAAAACGUCGUGCUUUUUUUCAACA